Molecule: long non-coding RNA, 479 nt
Organism: Nannospalax galili (Upper Galilee mountains blind mole rat)
Lineage: Eukaryota; Metazoa; Chordata; Mammalia; Rodentia; Spalacidae
Exons: 3
Source: RefSeq, a predicted model, not a curated record
GCAGACUUUAAGGGAGUCAUCUCACUUCUUGGUCUCCUUAUACUAGAGUCACAGUGAAACCAAUAAACAUCCAGACUUUGGUCACUUGGGGAUUCUGUUCCUACGCCGUCAUCAUCAUCCUCACGCCAAGAUUGAGAAGACAGACUCAACCAGAUAUGGAGGUAGAAGCAAACGAGCAUGCAAAAAUGUGCUGGUUCUCAAGGACUCUGUGGAGUAGCUCUGACUGCUUCCAACAGAGCAAGCCUGGUGGCCCAGCCUGAGUUUAAUAGAAGUAUCAUUCUUCCCUCGAAAGGACAGGCCUAUCACACAGUCUACCACCAGAAUGAUCGCCUCUAGAUAAGGUUCCCCUCAGAAAUUUUUUUUGGCACAAUUCCCUCCACCUCAACAUCCUUGAGCUUCAUCCCACACCAGUGCUGUCCACAGUUCAGUCCUUGCUCCAUCUCCUCUCCUUCUUGGACCUCCUGUCUCAGGCUCCCUGC